AACGAACGCUGGCGGCAUGCCUAACACAUGCAAGUCGAACGAGCCCUUCGGGUCUAGUGGCGCAUGGGUGCGUAACGCGUGGGAACCUGCCCUUAGGUUCGGAAUAACUCUCCGAAAGGGGUGCUAAUACCGGAUAAUGUCUUCGGACCAAAGAUUUAUCGCCUUUGGAUGGGCCCGCGUUGGAUUAGCUAGUUGGUAGGGUAAAAGCCUACUAAGGCGACGAUCAAUAGCUGGUAUGAGAGGAUGAUCAGCCACACUGGGACUGAGACACGGCCCAGACUCCUACGGGAGGCAGCAGUGGGGAAUAGUGGAAAAUGGGCGAAAGCCUGAUCCAGCAAUGCCGCGUGAGUGAUGAAGGCCUUAGGGUUGUAAAGCUCUUGUACCCGGGAUGAUAAUGACAGUACCGGGAGAAUAAGCUCCGGCUAACUCCGUG
RNAcentral lists this ribosomal RNA (433 nucleotides) under uncultured bacterium. RNAcentral describes it as "partial 16S ribosomal RNA". It matches the Rfam family "Bacterial small subunit ribosomal RNA", at positions 29 to 507 of the family's 1533-position model. The record is from RNAcentral.